This is a long non-coding RNA of Pipra filicauda (Wire-tailed manakin), 5265 nucleotides long. RefSeq lists it as uncharacterized. The record is from RefSeq and is a predicted model, not a curated record. The transcript is spliced from 5 exons. NCBI's taxonomy places the organism in Eukaryota, Metazoa, Chordata, Aves, Passeriformes, Pipridae.
GCGACCGAGGUGAUAUAAAGGGCGGCGCGGGGCGUGCCGUGCCGCUGCGGGGUGGCGGCGGCGGCGGGCAAGGUGGAGAGCAAACCAACUGCCUUACGACAGUCAUCUUCAGUUUGGUAGUGGUUUGUGACCCAAGAAAGGAUUUUCCCACUGACUGAGCUGAAGUAAGAGAGAGGAGCCUGUCCUGAAGCUUAUGGUACUGUUCCUGCCCAUGGCUCAGCAGAGGGGAAGGAAGAAAUGCUACCUGCAGUUUAACAGUUGUGUGAAUGAAAAAACUUACUUUUAAUGCACAGCUUGCAACCUGGUAGGACUCAAGGAGAGACUGGCACUGCUAAGAUUGCAAUUCAUCCAGCAACUCACAUCUUUCUCAGAAGUCUUGUCUGAGGAAUACUGGGGCAUGUGUCAGCAGAGAAGCUGUGGUGUUGCACUUCAACAGGAGUGUAUGUCAUUUGUGCCUCAUAUGUCUGAAAAUGGAAAGGGGUUAGGGAACUGAGUAUUGCCAGUCACAAAGUUCAAAAAAACUGCUAGGGCUGAAAAUGCUGUUUUACAAAGAUGUGGGGUCAGGGAGUGCAAGUCUUUCUUCUAUUUUUUGUGUUCUGGUUGAUUUGGGCCAUCUUUUAAAAUUAUUUCAACAACCAUAAGGGCCAGAAACUUACUGUUUUGUAACAUCUUUUAUGUCUCUCUCUUUUUUUUUUAGUUUGUAUUUUGAUUCUUGAAACUCUUCAUAAAGCUUGACUUUCAUAUAGAAUAGCCCUAUUUCUUCUUUAAAUUUGAUUAUAUGCUCUCAUUUUCAUGUAUGUAUUAGCAAAGUGUAAUAUUUCUUUUAAAGCUUUUAAUAUUUUCAGGCUUCCUUCCAUUUAAAAUUAUAAUUCUCUGCUAUGUCAAUUAAAUGCUACACCAAUUUUCUUGAAGUUGAGUAAUUUUUGCCUUCAGUUCUACCUCUGAAUUUCAUCAGCACCAGUUAGGGCUGUCCAUCAGCAGCACAUUACUUAAACCUGUACAAAAAGUAUCCAGCUUUUUAUCAUUAAUCUGGUAUUUCUAGAAUAUAUUUCUACAUUUCAGUUCUUCUCUUUUCACUACAAUUCAUUUUACUCAUCACUAAUGUGGUUGCAGCUCAACUCAGCUCAGUUUGCUUUGCUGGGACUACAUUCAAUCAGGAAAAAAAUUCAGGCUUGUUUCCAAUUUCAUUAUCUGGAGGAGAAAGAGCUGGUAUCAGCAUGUUCAUACCCUGAUUAACAGUUUUAAGAACAAAGUAUAAACACUUGAAAUAAAUUAAUUUAUUUACUAAGGAAAUUACCAAUCUCAUCUGCAUCUAUUUCUGAAACAGAAGAUUUGUUUGAAGUUCUUCCUUUUGGAUCUUAGCUUCCAGACACUGUCUUCACAAAUCCCAGGUUGUAAUAUCAUAAUCUCCCCUCAAGGGUCUGUUUACAUCUGAGGCUCCCCUGUAGACAGCAUUAGGUACAAAUACAUUAGAACUUAAACAUUAAGUUGUUCUCUGACAUUGAUGUGUGGACAUAGUAUUUAUCUUUAGAUGGAUAGAGAGGCCUGAAAUAUGUGACACUUAAUUCCUCUCUUUCACCUUCGUAAGGACAAAAGAAAGGGUGCUAUUAAUUAUUUUCCUAAUUUCAUAAAUAUGAUCUGGUCUACACAAGCAUGUAAAAAGAGCUUCAUCUAAAAUUUUUCUAGUUAGCACUGGUCAAUUAGAUUGGAAGCAGAAAUCAGUGUAAAUCAAAUCAUAAUUUAACCUGAUACAGUGACUAAAGUAAUUCAGAGGCAAGAACAAAUAAGGGUGCAGGCAGAGAAGAUGUCUAGAACAUUAUAGGCAAGAUACAGAAUUUGGAGGAGGUGCAUGUCAUGACAGGUUGUUUCAACUUGGGCUUUGCAUAAAAGAAGAAAAGCUAAAAGAGAAAACUAAAAUCCUGACAAAAAUGCAAAAUUUUGAAGAGAAGGCAAAGAACAAUACAUUAACCAUAAAGCAGAGAUAAAAUGUAUGGAAAUAAUUGAAGGAGCAGACUCAUGAUUCCUGAUGCAUCAAAAUAGAUACAGACUUAAGUCUGUAUUCCAACAGAAGGUAAAGCCAUGAUUAAAAUUUUGCCUGUGUUUAUGUGCUUAAUUAAUCCUAUAGUAAUCAUAGUCUCCUCCUUCAGCUUUCACUGAGCCGUAGGAUUCACUGCAUCCUGGGAAUUUAGAUUGCUCAAUACUUCCAAAUACUGCUUUUAUUUAAGUGUACCAAGCCCACACUUACAAGAUACAAUUCGUCUUUAAUGUUUUUCUAACAGUUUUUACUUGAAGGAUCUUAGUAGUACUGGGCAUUGGUCCAAUAAACAUGAACUUGUUCAAAGGUAGAAGACAGUAUAUGAGAUCCUCCCUAAUAUUUUCCUUCUUUAUUUUGCCCUGUUUAAAUAAGCAAAAAAUAGCCUAAUUUUUUCCCCAGCAUCCAUGAAUUGUUUCACAUAUACAAUGCUGUAAAAGAAAAUUGCUCUUGGAAUUUAUGCUAACAUUUCCUCCUGAUAAUGACUUUAACAAGUAAAAUUAACAGAUUUUCUUACCAAAAUAACCCAGAAAUAAAUGUUAAAUGUUUAUUCUCUUUUAAAAACAGAAACCACUCAGCAACCAAAUAACUCUGGAGUGUCAAAUAAGUGUGCUUUAUUUACAGUCAUGAGGCUUGUAUCUGAAGUGAAUUAAAAAUUUAUCUUAGGUCAAUAUAUCAUGAUGGUUUUGUAAAUGUGUUUCUGAGGACAAGACUAACUACACCCAUUGAUGUGAAUAAUAUACAAUCAAUACCCAUUUUCCUUUCUAAAAUAAUGAAUUAAAAUCCAUCUGCAACUAGGACUUCGUUGUUAUUCUUAAAAAAGAAAAUCAGCAUAGUAGGCAAUUAAAACUGGAACAAAGAAAAAAAUGAAAACAAAGAGAGGAGGAGUAGAAGGAUUUUUACUGAAAGCUAUUACAAAAACCAGAAUUCCCAAAUGAGAUGAAAAAGAGUAGCCAAGAGCAACAAAAGAUACAUCUUAAGGUCCAGCUCCUGCAGUCUUUUAGUAGUACACAUUUAGCUCAUGCCACAGAGCAAGCUGCAGGAUUCUGAAGUGUUUGCAAGAUCAGACACCAACCAUUCAGCUUGGCUGUAGGUUAGCAGUAACAACAGUUACUACAAUUACAUUUGAAACACCGUGUAAACUCCUGAAGUUCCAGAGGUGUUUCUAUUCUCGAGAACUAACGAUAGCUUAAAUUACUCACGAUUUUUCAUGUAUUUUCUUUAGAUUUUUAAUUUAAAAUACUAUGGAACCAUUUAUUAAAAGGUGUUUUCCAAGAAGCCGAAGGAAGAACUAUAACUUUUUCAAUAACAAUUUCUGUUUAAUUGAAAUACUUUUAAUAAUUAAAAAUAAUAAGAAAAGGGUUGGGGGUUUGUUCGAGUGUUGUUGUAGCUGUUAUAUUAUAAAGCUGUAUUUCAGUGAGUAAUCCCUUUAAAUACUCUGAAGUCUGGACAAAUUUAGAGAUGGCAUAUUUUUUCCAUGGCAUAUUUUAAACACACCUGCUGAGCUGGGUUCAUGGGCAGGACACUGGAUCUAUCUACUCUCAGGUAAAACAGCUACCUACCCACAGGACUUAAAGAUUUCGUUUAAUAUUAAAUGAUCCUUUUAGAGUGGCAUCAAGACAUCCCUGUAUUAUAGUGAAGAAGUUUGCAUGUUCAGUAUAUCUGAUGGAUAGUUCACUGAGUCCAAGAGCAUUUAAACCAACACAGCUUCACAAGAACAUAGGAGGAACUAAAAUAGAGCAGAUGACCUUAUUCAGGUCCCUCAUUCUGAAAUGAAACCAUGUUACUGCUAGAAAACAUUUUGGCUAAAGAAAAUUCUGCAGUUAGUUUAGUUCUGAGUAUUAUAUGCUUAACAUUAUUUGCGUACCUAAGCAUGACAUCUGAGCAAAUUGCAAGACCUAACCUACUGGACAUUUUGGAAAGCACAGAGUUAAUGUGCCAUAGUGAGGCAUUUGGCUCUUGUUUUCCUGGCAUUAAGACCUCUUAAUUUAUCGGCCAAAUUUGACUAUACUGCCACUGUAGCUGUAAUCUAAACAACCCUAAGAAUAUGCUAAUUAAGCAGAUUGCUAGCAGAUAGAUUCUCUUGGCUGGAAUUCUACCAUAAGCAGUGAAAUUUGUUUUCUGGAAAAAGAAUUCACUGAAUUAUCUAAUAAUUCAGUGAAUUGCAGAGAGAAACUGUGAACCUGAAUAUAGAUCUGGACUUGCUCACAAGUGAAUGUGUGGUAACAGUGCUAGUAAUAACCUUCAGGUGUCUGCUGACAUCAGAAAGGAGACAUAUGUCCCUUAGAUGCACAUACAGCACUGGUACUAGCUGGCUGGCUGGGCCUUUGAAUUCUGUCACAGAAAAAAUCUAGACCAUGUGUUACGUAUCAAGAUUCAAGGGAUAAGAAAAUGGAGGUGCUAGCAAAGAUCUAAUGUGUUAAUACCAUGAAGGAAGUCAAUAAUUUGUCUCCUUUAAAUGCAUUAUUCCUUUUCUUUGAGUUCAGAAGAAUCAACCUUUUCAGAGUAAGUUCUUAUUUCAAUUAGAGAACACAGAUAAGUAACUACAGAAACUGGAAAGUUGAAAUCUCUUUUGCUUAUUUAGAACAUCACCUUUGCUUAUUUAGAACUACGGGAAUUUCCUCCAUAGUACAUUACAUAUUGCCUUAGAAUCCUAUAGUCAUAAGUGAGGUCAGAAUGGACCUUCAGGGGUUAUCUAGUUCAACUCCUUCCUCAGACAGGUCCAAUCAGAUCAAGUUAAUCAGGGCCAUGGCCAGGGGAGUCCUGAACAUCUCCAAAUAUGGAGAUUCUACAACUGCUUUGAGCAACCCCCGCGUUUGACCAUUCUCAUGGUAUUUUUUCCCCCUUUUAUCUAGAAUAUGGAAUUUACCAUGUUGCAACUUGUGUCUGUUGGCUCUUGUGCCAUCAUCGUGCACCUCUGAGAAGAGGCUAGUUCCAUUUUCCAGUCCUGUCCUGCAGUCAGGAAGUUGGACAGUUCUAAGUCACAAACUAAAAUGGAAUCUUUAUUACACAGUUCUGUUUCCCCCUGAGGAGAUGCCUGGGAACUCUCAUAGACCAAAAUGUGCAGUACUCUGCCGCUGGUGUACCUAAACUCAUCUUGUGCUGAAAUCUUCUGAGAAGAAGGAAGAUUCUUGAAGCCAGGGUGACCAUCUGGAUUUGUAUAGUUCUUCAGAUUGUUUUGUUGAAUGAAAACCAUGUAUUAAGACAACUCUUCUGAGCAGUUGCAUUGCUAA